AUAUAUAUAUAUAUAUAUAUAUAUAUAUAUAUAUAUAAUAUAUUUAUGUGUAAUAAGUCUUCUGUACAAGUAAGGAGAUCUCCGUGAUUAUAAGUUAUUUUCAAUGAUAAAAAAUUUGAUUUGAUGAUCAACUCCGUUAAAUAUAAUUUACUUUAUUAAAACUAAAUUUUAUAAUUGUUUGACAUUAUUUACCAAGCGAUCAAAAGAUCUCAAAAUUGAUUAUUUUAACGGCCGAUGUGACAUAUUUUUAAGUUUAACGGUGUAAAAGUAUCCAAAUUAGAUGAAAAUUUAAUAGAAAAUUCUACUUAACAUCAAUAGCAAGACCAAUACUUCCGAUUUGAAAUUUGAAUCCUUUAUCACUGUUUUUUAUGAGAUUUUUAUUUUCAGCCGUUCAUUUUGAGAUUACUUGUUUAUUAAACAAACGAAGUUAACAAAUUAUGAAAUUUGAUUUCUAAAUAGUUCUAAUAACGUAGAUCAUGUCUAACAAAAUCGAUCGCCAAAUCAGAUAUCCCAUUACAGAAAAUAACUUACAAGCACGGAGGCUUCCGUACUUUCGAAAGCAUAGGAACCUAACUCUCUCUCUCUCUCUCUAUAUAUAUAUAUAUAUCC
RNAcentral lists this long non-coding RNA (609 nucleotides) under Ananas comosus (pineapple). Its description in RNAcentral is "long non-coding RNA (ACOM_LNC034122)". The record is from RNAcentral. Lineage: Eukaryota; Viridiplantae; Streptophyta; Magnoliopsida; Poales; Bromeliaceae.